CGUCUAUAUACGUAUAGCAUAUCAAUAAGCGGAGGAAAAGAAACUAACAAGGAUUCCCCUAGUAACGGCGAGUGAAGCGGGAAGAGCUCAAAUUUGAAAUCUUAAAGGGUUUCCCUUUACGAAUUGUAGUUUAAAGAAGUGUUUUCUGUUGGAGUUUCGGUAAAAGUUCUUUGGAAUAGGACAUCAUAGAGGGUGAGAAUCCCGUAUUUGACCGUUACUUUCCAGCUGUGUGAUACACUUUCAAAGAGUCGGAUUGUUUGGGAAUGCAGUCCAAGAUGGGUGGUAAAUUUCAUCUAAAGCUAAAUAUUGGCGAGAGACCGAUAGCGAACAAGUACCGUGAGGGAAAGAUGAAAAGAACUUUGAAAAGAGAGUUAAACAGUACGUGAAAUUGUCAAAAGGGAAGCGUUUGACACCAGUGUUGUUUAGUUGAAAAUCAAUUCAAUAGUUUUUGAUUCUAAGUAGUAUUGACUUCAUCAGCUUGCUGCUUUCUUCUCAGAAAUUAUUGAAUGCACUUUUCAGUUAACAAGUCAACAUCAAUUUCUUUUGUUGUAAAAGGGUAAGAGGAAGGUGGCUUGCGCUUCGGCUCAAGUGUUUAUAGCCUUUUAUCUCUGCAAUCGGAGAGAUUGAGGUCUGCAGCGUAGAUCCUUCGGGGUUAGAUACAUUGGUGCUAAGCUAUAGCCUUGUAUAGACAACUUGUUGACUAUGCUCAGUCAUGUAGCUUACUCGCUUGAUGCUAUUUUACCUACGCUUAGGAUGUUGAUAUGCAUGACUGAUAU
RNAcentral lists this ribosomal RNA (776 nucleotides) under uncultured Neocallimastigales. RNAcentral describes it as "partial large subunit ribosomal RNA". It matches the Rfam family "Eukaryotic large subunit ribosomal RNA", at positions 26 to 643 of the family's 3401-position model. The record is from RNAcentral. Lineage: Eukaryota; Fungi; Neocallimastigomycota; Neocallimastigomycetes; Neocallimastigales.